RNAcentral lists this ribosomal RNA (404 nucleotides) under uncultured bacterium. Its description in RNAcentral is "bacterial SSU rRNA". It matches the Rfam family "Bacterial small subunit ribosomal RNA", at positions 355 to 776 of the family's 1533-position model. The record is from RNAcentral.
UGGGGGAUAUUGCACAAUGGGGGAAACCCUGAUGCAGCGACGCCGCGUGUGGGAAGACGGUCCUCUGGAUUGUAAACCACUGUCCCCAGGGACGAAUCUGCCGGUACCUGGGGAGGAAGCUCCGGCUAACUACGUUACCGCAGCCGCGGUAAUACGUAGGGAGCGAGCGUUGUCCGGAAUUACUGGGUGUAAAGGGAGCGUAGGCGGGAUGGCAAGUUGGGUGUUAAAUCUACCGGCUCAACUGGUAGUCGCACUCAAAACUGCCGUUCUUGAGUGAAGUAGAGGCAGGCGGAAUUCCUAGUGUAGCGGUGAAAUGCGUAGAUAUUAGGAGGAACACCAGUGGCGAAGGCGGCCUGCUGGGCUUUUACUGACGCUGAGGCUCGAAAGUGUGGGGAGCAAACAGG